CUUUCAAAUUAUCUGUGUGCCAGAUACACUUUGAAGAUCUGUUUUCAAAGGGUUGAUUCGCUAUGGGGUCGGUCAUAACAAUUCCAUUCACGUUUGCUUUGGGAUUAAUUUCAGUGACCCCGUCAGAUUUCUUCUAUUGGUGCAAAUGGAUCCUCUCCUACAUUUAUAUUGAAGUCAACAAAAGAUUUACAACCAGGAGAUUUGAUCUUUAUGAUAAAGAUGCACUGGACGAUGCAGCGAAGCUGGGAUUUAUUGUGCCAGCAGAGGAAUACGUUUAUGAAGCUCCUUACGAUGAAGCUCAUCUACGAAAAGCAGAAGACGAAAUAAUUUGCUAUGGAGUGAACUCUAAACCGGAGCGUCUUCUGGUCAAUAUUUCAAGGCGCAGCGAUCAGAAAGCAGAUGCUUGCGUUUACCUGAAAUUAGAAUCUGGCAAAACGUACCGUUUGCAAAAGACUGGACAUUUUCAACAGUCUUCAACUGAUAAGACUGUCUUUUCCUGUGGAGAUCUCCAAAUAUCCUAUACGUGUCCCAUGAGGCGAUGGCGAAUAUUUUACAGCGGGUAUUUGAGGGAGACGACCGAAAAUGAUGAAAAGGGACGUAUGGUAUACGUAAAAUUUGCAUUAAGGUGGCGGGCUUCUUCGGAUGUCUUUGACGCCACAUCGGAUUUAAACUCAUACGCACUUGCUGAUGCUGUUGCUAAAGCCAACUGGAAAUCAGCGUAUCCUCCGCUAGACAAGCUCAAAAAUGCAUUGAAUUUUUACAUACAGUCAGGUGUUAUACACGGAACUGUAGAAGUGGAAGGAGAACCAGAACAUGAGAUCUAUUUAUUUGGCCAGAGACUCAGAAAUUUAGGUGAUGUUUCAAGCAUAAAAGAGGCUGAAAUUGAACAUAUGAUGGGCUACGUCUAUCAGCAUGGAGCUUUCGUUUAUAUGGGCAAAGCUACGAUAAAAAACGUUGUAAAAGAUUUAUGCUUUGGAUUCGCCAUUCAAGCGGAUACAGCUCUUAAAAUACUGGAAAAGAUAACUAUAACAAUUAUAGAUUCAAAAGAUUUGAAAUUUAUGCUUUCUACAUUUUGGAAGGGUCGGAAUUAUAAGCUCAGCGGAUCACUGACUAGUCCUUUGUUGCAAUAUAGUAAUAAAGGAGGAGAAAUAGGAACUUCAGUUAGGAAAUACGGUUUUUAUGUAAAUGGCAAGAGAGGAAGUGGUUUCUACUUAGGAAGGAAACUUUCAGAUUCUCUGAAGCACAAAACUCCAAAAAUUAUAGCACCCGAAGCUCCAAUACCAGUGUCGCCAUUAGCGGUCCCCUUUACGAAUGAAAUAUGUCAACUGUCAGAUGUGACGGGAGGGAAAGGAUCCUCACUAGGAAAACUGACAAAGUUAAGCAAGAAUCUCCGGACAUUUAUCGUGCCUAGUGGAAUAGUUGUCACUACUUCAGCUUACAAAAAUUUCGUCACCAAAGGAAUUCUUGCAAAGAUAAAACUUUUGGAAGACGUUGUGUACAGUGGAAAUUCAGCAGAAGAUGUCAAAGAAGUAUGUCAAAAUGUCUGCGAAGAAGUUGAAAGAACAGUAUUUCCCAAAGGAAUACGAGAAGCCAUAGAAAUAUCGCUGAGAAAAACCUUUGGAGGACAAUAUCAGUCUAAAAAAUUUGCCGUUCGAUCUUCAGCCACUGGUGAAGAUACUGAACAGAUGUCUGCCGCUGGUCAGAUGGACACAUUAUUAGGCAUCUCAGGAAUGAAUGAAAUUUUGCAAGCCGUAAAGAAGUGCUGGGCUUCCCAAUUUGGAUUCGUUGCAAUACAGUAUAAAAGGCGUUAUGGUCAGUGUUUGAAUUCCCCCAUGGCUGUGGUCAUUCAGGAGAUGGUGCCUUGUGAUGUUGCUGGUGUGCUAUUUACCUGCGAUCCUGUGACAGGAAAUCCAACAGUCAUGACUAUAACUGCCAACUAUGGUUUAGGAGAGAGUGUCGUGUCAGGAUCAGAAGAGCCAGAUACAAUUGAACUACAAAGGGAUCCCGAAGAUCAACUUACUCUAAAGAGUACAACAAUCGGAGCGAAAAGCAGGAAGAUCAUUGCGAAAGAUGUAGAAGGUAUUACAUUGGAAGAAGUUCCGGAAAAUGAGAAAGGAAAUUGUUGUUUAUCAGUAGAAAUGAUAAUGCGACUGGGCCAGCUUGGGAUUGAAGUUGAAAACUAUUAUCGCUCCCACAGGGACAUUGAAUGGGGCUUCUGGAACAACAACCUUUACCUCUUUCAGUCCCGUCCAGUUACUAGUGGCACAAAUGAAACAAUAUUCGAAAUAGAGCAUGAACUGGAUGGUCCUCUUAGACUAGAAAAUGAUUAUUUAACAGUCUCACACAUAGCGGAGGUAAUGCCAGGAGCAACUACGCCUUUAGGAAUGGAGACCUUUUUCAAGAUAUUUGAUAUUGGAUUUCUGGAAGAACAAACAGAGUGGCUGUUUCCUUCUGGGUGCCCGUAUUUCCGUUGCUCUUGGGAGACUUUCUAUAAUCACUUCAUGUUUAGAAUGACAGAUGUUUUCCGUGGGCAACAUUCGGAUAACAUCGAUUACUUCUCUCAAGCAACUAUGAUAGCAUUUUUCGGCAGAAUACUCAGCGAUGAAGAAUUAUUUCAAGUGUGCAGAGACCGGUUCAGAGACUUCAAAAAAGAAGCUUCUCUGACUGAAAUGGCGAAACUCGUGUUGAAUGCUGGUAAAAGAAUUCGGAAGAUGGAGAAAACUUAUGCUAACUACCGAAUUCCAUACGAGAAACAUAAAACAUCGAAAGAACUCUAUGAUUACCUCAUGCGCUCUUGCUCCCAGCUGUGCGAUGUUUUCGUCGGGCACGUGAAGGUUUCUCAAGCAUCGACGUUGUGGAAUAUGUUCAUUUUUACGGUCCUCGGGAAAGCAAAAAAAGGAUUUGACGAUGAUGUUUACAGAGAUUUUUCUUCUCUCAUGACCACCAGCAGCGAUGUGAUAAGUGCUGAUGUACCCGCAGCUAUUCAGAGCCUUGCUUACUACCUCUCCGAGGCUAUCAGUGCAGAAGAAUUCAAGAAAAUGAGCGUUGAAGAGGCGUUAAAUUGGCUACAAAGAACGCCAGCAACAGUUGGUAAAAAAUUUAAGCAGUUUACGGAGACACAUGGACAUAGAUGCUUGCGAGAAUUCGAUGUAUAUUCAUUACCAUGGGGGACUGAUCCAAAGCCAUUAAUUAAAUUGCUACAGAAUCUGGCUGGAAGUGUAUCUCAGGACGCCGCGAAGAAUUUGGAUAAUUCUAACGAAAGAUUGUCUAAACUGUCUGUGUCUCUUGGAUUGUUUUCCAGAUUAAUUUUAAAGUUUUUGUUGCCAUACAGUCGGCAAGGUGUGCAAAGACGGGAAAAGACUAAGUCAAUGAUGAUAAAAGGACUCGACGAAUGGAGGAAAGGGCUUAGAUACCUUGCAAGACUUAUGGUUUCCGAAGGACGCAUUCCGGAAGAAGAUCUUUUAUUUUUCAUGACUUAUGAAGAAAUUCAAGAAUUACUGAACACGAGAUCACCGAAAAUAAUAGCCAGGGCAGUUCAAAGACAAAGACGUUACCCAAUCAUGGACAAGUACAUAUUUCCUGAAAUUAUAAAAGGUGUACCAAAGCCAGUAUUCCCAUUUGUCAAGGCAUAGCGGAAGGUUUCGUUCGUGUUGCUCUUAUAUUAGAAGAAGCAGCGCAGUUAAAGCCGAAAGAAAUUAUGUUGACAUACAGUACGGAUAUAGGCUGGACGCCUUACUUCCCAACGCUGGCUGGAGUUGUUACGGAAUUGGGAGGACUCAUUUCUCACG
RNAcentral lists this unclassified non-coding RNA (3788 nucleotides) under Stegodyphus dumicola. Its description in RNAcentral is "uncharacterized LOC118181218, transcript variant X3". Lineage: Eukaryota; Metazoa; Arthropoda; Arachnida; Araneae; Eresidae. The record is from RNAcentral.